AGGACAAGAGGCGAUGUCGCAGGGUGAGAUUUCUAUUACUGUAGGAGAUUUUUUUGAGCAGAUCUUUGGUCAGAGUGGAUAUAGCUCAUGAUGGAGGUGAGAUUGAGUGGUCUGGCUUGACUCCCACAUUUGUCCAUCCAUGAGACAGCAGGUAUGUCCCAGGGUGUGGGGGUGAGACGGAUCACAGACUCUCAAAGAUAGGUAGAGGUCGAAUAUCG
This 218-nucleotide long non-coding RNA is filed under the name Elaeis guineensis (African oil palm). RNAcentral's name for it is "long non-coding RNA (EGUI_LNC081426)". Lineage: Eukaryota; Viridiplantae; Streptophyta; Magnoliopsida; Arecales; Arecaceae. The record is from RNAcentral.